UGCUUCGGGGAUAGGAUUUAUCGGACUGAAUAUAGGAAGCUACAGAUAAGCUUGUCUGACAGGCUUCCUUUUAUAUCCCUGACAUGCAGUUUAUCCCACUCUGAACUAGACAUUUGCUCUCCAGAGCAAAAUAAAGGUCCAAGGUUUGAUUUCUUUUUUUCCCCUUUCUUUCUUUUUCUCAGCUGUCAAGGGAUAAAGCUGAACUGAGGCGGGGAAAGGAGCAUUUAUUCCCAGUGGGUAAAGAGAGGAAGGCUGAAAUGAAGGAUUUUCUCCAAUGAUAGCACUCCCAGAGCAGCAAACCCCACCUCUGAGUUUCCAGUAAAUCUGCAGGGAGUACAAAGCAAACCAAUCAAGAAAUGUCAAGGUGUAUUUGCUGUCCUACUAACCUGGUGCCUCAUUCCCUCUCUGGCACAUGCUGCUGGGACACAAAGGUGCAUCCCAAUGCUGUGUGUCGGGGAGGGAGCAUGGCUGUGAGCCCAGCUGGGGCAAGGUGACCAAAUGGCUCCCAACUCCUGCUCUCCAGCCAUCACAGAAAGGGGGUGCUGGAGGUGAGCUGCCUGUUUUGGGAACAGUGGUGCUUGGGGUCUGUGCCAGUCCUUUGUACCGUGCUCUCAACGAGGCAGAAAUCCAACUGUAAAGAGGACCUCACACACACUUAUCUGCAGCUGAAGCCAAGCAGCUUAUGUUAGAGAUCACUUAGACUUGACUGCUGUCAAAUACUGGCUGCAAGUGAGAUGGGUUUCCUCAGUGCCAUAUUUUACUUGGUGGCACAUCUAGAACUUUUGGAAAGAGCUUUCUGAAAUAAGCUCAUCUUCAAGUUUUUUGCAGGUGUCUUUUUUACUUUUUUUUUUUUUUUCUUCUUCUUAUAAAGAGAAUUGGGCAAUGACGGAAUUUUCAUGAAAGUUACCUCUUAUUCUCUUGCUUCAUAUCCCAAUGAACUAUAAAGGAAAUGCUGAUAAAUUUGGUAUAUUCCCCAUCUAAUGUUCCUCUGUGCUGUCCUCAGAGCAUGUCCUGCCCCUAGUUGCUCUGUUAACUUGUCCCUGCUUAUAACACUCCGUACAUAAAACACAACUGGGCGCUUUUCGCUCUGAUUAAAAUCAUGCUGUGCAAUAGGAAAUACAAAUUAGCUCUGGUCUUUGGGCUCCUGACAAGUUUCCAGUGCCGCUUUCAACACCACAGAGAUUGUGUAACUCCAUCUGUGCGUGCUCUGUGUGGUGACGUCUCCCCCUCCGUCAUGAGCUGGGCUGGCUGCCACUCAUCCAGGUUCAGCUAUUAAUACUUCAAGCAGCUUUUAGAACUGAAGGAGGAAGAGAUGUUGCCAGCAGCUGGGUGAAAUGCAGAAACCAGCUUUUCCUUGCUAGGGGACUGUGUGGGAAGGGUUAAAAGAAGAAGGAUUUCCUAGGUAAUUCCCUCAGUCUUGAUGUUUGUGCAAAUACCUCCCUCUUCAAUGAAUGAUUGAGGAACUCAGCACAGGAGAGCCAAUGCUUCAGUACAAGAUUAACCCCUGAAGGAAGAGCACAGUAGCCUCUUAUUCAAACUAGAGCUUAAGUUUGUGCUGCCAUGAAGCGCACGGCACUUUCCUGCCUUCUCCAGGGAUUCAAGCCAGGCACACUGUGUUACAUCAUUUCAGCGUUGCUCACAGAAGGGCUGAGGCUCCAGCUAUCGUGUCAUGUUUUCAGCAGAAACCUGUAAGUCUCGGCGACUUCCUCUGAGGAUGCUGAAGCAAACAGUGCCCAGACCUGUGAGUGAACAAGUUGCAAAUGACAUCGCCGGUUUGAAACGGUGCGUGGGCACGACGUGGGCAAAUGUUCCCUGCACUGGGUGUUUUCUAAAGGUCUCUGAAGCAUGAGGCAUGACUGAAUGACUUCUGUUUUCUUUAAAUGAUGAGUGGGAGAAUUUUGAAUCGUUGGUCUGCUUUUAUUUUUGUUAAACGUGUGUGGGCUGGCAACAUGACUCAGUAUUUUCUCUGCAGAUAAAAAGAUCAUACUGCCAAUUCUGGGUAUAUUUCUGACAGCUUCCUACAGAGAACUGGAACACUUUUUCAGUCCAGAGCUUUGCUUUUCGGUAGCCUUGAGCCUAUUGAUGUGAAAAUAAGUGAUUUUAAAAAUGAGUGUUUUGCCAAAAUGUACAUAAAUACACUGAAGAAAUGACCAAACAUGGGGAAAGUCCCUCUACCCCCAUGUUUUCCCAACAGUUUAUCUGAUUUUUUCACGGCCAUCAAUGUCUGAUUUUUCUUUCUGAUUCUCCCUAGCCUCAGUUGCUGCUGGGCCAUCUCUUUGACUGCUGGAUAUCAUCUCUGGUGUUUAUUUAGCCAUCCAUGUCCUGCUGGGUGACAGCCACCAUCCUGUGACUGAUGGCUGUGAGUUGUCCCCACCUCCAAAGAGACAAGUAGGCAUAUUUGUGGGUACAUGUAUGUAGUUCAGGCAGAAGUCCCCAAAAACUCCCCUUUCUCCCUUCUGGCAACCUCCCUGCCCCGCUCUCCCUUCUUCAUCCUCCCUUUAUGCCAUGUACAGUGUAUGGUGUGUGCGCUGGGAGAUACACAAAGCCAGCCAUGGGCUUUGGAUGCUUUCAUUGUGCGACAAUGAGUGCCCUCUUCUCCCAUGCCCUCUUCUCCACUAAUGUGCAGUGUGCUGGUGGUUAUGUCUUUGAUAAGAACAGGUUUCUUGCUAAGACCCCCACCUGUAAUCAUAACUCAACAUUCUAGAGCUACCAAUAAACCACUUUUCCCUGCUGAUAGCAGCCCUCAGCCCCGUGGACCUUGCUGAAGGUCUGUGAAUGGCUAGAGAAUAACAGACUAACAGAUGAAAGAUGUUGCACAGCAAAGGUUAUCUGUGAAGAUGACGUGCCUGUAGAUUCCUUCUGUAGAGUGUGCAGAGUGAAAUGAAUUCCAUGCACUCUGCUUAUUUGAUUGCUAACUUCAACCACAGAAGAAUUCCCACAUUCAGUCCCUAGGAAUGGCCUUGGCUAAUGUGACCUGUACUUAGCACCAUGACCCAAACCCCACUGUGAUCCUGACUCUAUACUGGCCCAUACAACAGUGAGCUGUACCUGACCCAUACAUGCACAAGCAUGUAUUACAGUACUAGGCAACUGUAUCAUCUUCCUAUCAUUCCAGUUCCUCAGUCCCAAGAUCUUCUUCCUGUUCUUGGUGUUUUUUGCACCUUCCACUGUCCACCCAUGGCAAUACUUCACCCCGAGCUUAAGGCUGAGCACAUCCAUCAUCCCUACAGACCUCAUCAGAAGCCACUUGAAGUGGUUGACUCAAGUGCCUUUGCACGUUUAUCUCAUAAUGAUAAGAAACAGGUGGCAGGCCUUAUAGUUUCUCCACAAUCUUCACAUUAUUCAGGAAUAAUCCUACACUUUAAGCCCUUUUUACCCCACAGCCUGAUUCUAGCCUUAAGGAUAAACUAUCAGCCAGCAUUCCUUGAAACACAAGCAGAAGCACUCUGCCUUACUGAGUACCAGCACUCAGGCUUGCCCUGAAGAGCAAGAGGUGGUGCUCUUUAGUCCUUGGUGUCCCAAUCUCUAACCCUGACUUCAGAAUCUGAAGAGCUGAUGCUCUUUACUUACAGUCCUGUGCCUCUGAGUGCCAGAGUCACUCACCCCUGCCAGCCCCAGCCCAGACUGUGUUUCUAAUGGUUUUGCUGGAAUCUAGGCACGGAGAUGGAAGCAGCCACUGGGACUUGCUUGGUGUACAAACUGUAAGUUGUGUUUUUCAGAGGUUGUGCUUGAUGGGGCAGAGCAUGUUUUGGUGGAUUUUAGGGUGGAAAGAUUAUGUUUGGGCAUGGCUUGAAGGACUAACUGGCUUGCUCAGCUGCUAAGGGGAUGGUAGGCUGGGUACAAAAUGGGGCAUGGGGGACUGUAACAGUGUCUGUACAUCAGUGAGUGAGCAGGGAGUCAUGGUGUGUGGCACUGAUCACUCUCCUUUCCUAAAACAAGCUUCACUGUUCCUGUCUUCUUACUUCUCACUGCCCUUCCACUGGUUCUUCACCACUGUCUCCAGCUUUUUUCCUCCAGCCUAUGGAUUUCCAGAGCUACCUGCUGCUCUAGAGUUGGUUCUCCAGCCCUCCCACGCCCUGUGUCAUUGCUGUCUUGCCUGCUUUUGGCAGCCAGAGCUCAUCCAGAGGCCGAGCAUAUGAACCCUAUGUUGCCUAUUAGAAGGCGGUCUGCUGACUGUAUUUCACGUUGGUGUGUCUUGCUGGUUAGGAGACAAGAAUGGAGAGUGCUACAGCCCCAGGUGUCUUCAGGUGUCAUUGUGUUGCUGUGAAUAAUGAGCUUGCUUCUGAAGAUUUUUGGGGAUUGGCCUUUAAACUUGCUUCACUUAUUUACACUGAAGGUAGGUAUUGGAUUUUUUUUUAUUUCUGAACUGCAUUUAAUAAGACUGUCAUAGAAAAGCUCUCAUAUUUCUGGGAAGAAUACUUAUUAAAAGAGGUUUUGUAAUUGUUAUGGUGUGCGGUCCUCAGCUUUCCUGAACUUUUGCUGUGUUACAUUCAAAUAUAGUCUAGUGUGAGAAGCUUGGACUUCGAACUUUGAAAGAAAGCUUGGAAAGAGAAAAGUUAACAGCAGCCAAUUUGGAUCAAGUCAUCACUCCAGCUGGUAACUGCAGCUUCCAGAUAAGACUGACCAUGGGACAAUGUAAGAAACACCCAAUUAAGGAGCAAGGAAUUGUCCAUUUUCAGAGUGGCUACACACACCAACACUUUGUUGCACAGACACAGAAUAACAACUCUAACUGGAACAGUUCUCUUGGUAGUCGUUACACUGCCUAUAAUUGUUUCUGCAAGAGUUUGCAGGCCUUACCAUCCUGGGUGUACCUUUGAAUCAGAGUAAUAAAGGGAAACACUAUUUUUAAUCAGA
Molecule: long non-coding RNA, 4857 nt
Organism: Corvus hawaiiensis (hawaiian crow)
Lineage: Eukaryota; Metazoa; Chordata; Aves; Passeriformes; Corvidae
Exons: 2
Source: RefSeq, a predicted model, not a curated record